Molecule: small nucleolar RNA, 81 nt
Organism: Parambassis ranga (Indian glassy fish)
Lineage: Eukaryota; Metazoa; Chordata; Actinopteri; Ambassidae
Source: Ensembl
GUUGUCGGUGAUGUUUUAUCACAUUAAUUCGAGUUUAACUGACCAUGAGAAAACCUUACAUGCACUACCAUCUGAGACGUC